This is an RNA transcript of Ipomoea nil (Japanese morning glory), 1235 nucleotides long. It is a transcript of the gene named putative casein kinase II subunit beta-4, with no coding region annotated. The record is from RefSeq and is a predicted model, not a curated record. The transcript is spliced from 4 exons. NCBI's taxonomy places the organism in Eukaryota, Viridiplantae, Streptophyta, Magnoliopsida, Solanales, Convolvulaceae.
AAUGGUCUGAUUCCGGUGACGAGCCCUAGUCGUCAUAUACGUCUUUGUCACAAUAGACUGUAUAUUCUCUGCAACUCCGUUUUCUCCCAUCGUAUGGGGUUUUCACUUCUCCUAUGAAUCCUCCUAUAUUGUUUCAGAGAGGGGAGCGAAAUGCAUAGGGAUCGAGGGGCGGAGGAGUUUCGUCCAGGUCGGAGAUCGUGGGUGGGCGGGUGGGUAGGAAGCCAAUAAACGAUGCCCUUAGAUAAGCACUUGGAGAAGUCCUCCCUCUCAACCUCAAGGACCUUCAAGGACAAGGGGGCGGUGCUCUCCACCUCCGCUGCUGUUGCCAAAUCCAAUCAGGAAACUAUUGCUUCCAAGAACAAGUGCUCCGACGCCGAUAUGCUGGAAUUUUGACAUUAUAUUUGCUGAAGAAUCUGGAACAGACAGUGAAGAGUCUGAUGUUAGUGGUUUUGAUGGACAUGAUACAUCAUGGAUUUCAUGGUUCUGCAACUUGCGAGGAAAUGAAUUUUUGUGAAGUUGAUGAUGAAUAUAUUCAGGAUGGUUUCAACCUUUUUGGACUAAGCAGUCAAGUUCCAUACUACGAAUAUGCACUUGACCUCAUUCUGGAUGUUGAGUCCUCUCAUGCCAUCUCAGAGCUAUGUUCCGAGGGUAUUUGGGUUCAAGAUUCACUAGAGUGAAAUGCAGAAUGGCAAUGUGUAGAAAUAUCUUGUUUGUGUCAAGAGUGUUCUCUUCUACCUGGCUUCCUCAAUGUACAAGUUCUUACAAGUCAGUGUUAGAGUUGGUUACCUUCCAUCUGUUCCAUUCAUAGGGAGACUACACGGAAAAGACUAUCGUCUUUUCAUGUUCUCUCUCUGUUUAUCACACAUUGGCCGAACAACUCCCCUACGCCGUUCGAUUCUCCUUUUUCAUCAGCAUUGGACGAUGGUCGUCGGUGGGGACCGCCGUGGAGCCAAGCGACAGGGACCACCCGCUCGGGGUGUAGGUCGACGUAUUUUUUCUCUCUUUUUGUCGUUUCUGAAUUUUUUAAGAUCGUUAUUAUCCUUUGUGUUGCGGUGACCGCUUGUCGAGUUGGGGGGGGGGGGGGGGGAUUGGUUUCUGGUUUGGACUUGCGUGUGGAUUUAGUAGAUUUAGGGUUUUUUUAGUAGUUCAGUACAAUUUUGUUUAUCUUUGGGUGGCCGUCGUCUCUGGGAAAUGAGUGUGGGUGCAGGGGGCUGGUGGUGGUGACCGGUCGUUGC